Molecule: ribosomal RNA, 460 nt
Filed under: uncultured bacterium
Lineage: Bacteria
Description: partial 16S ribosomal RNA
Rfam family: Bacterial small subunit ribosomal RNA
Source: RNAcentral
CCUACGGGAGGCAGCAGUGAGGAAUAUUGGUCAAUGGGCGCGAGCCUGAACCAGCCAAGUAGCGUGAAGGAUGACUGCCCUACGGGUUGUAAACUUCUUUUAUAAAGGAAUAAAGUGAGGCACGGGUGCCUGUAUGUAUGUACUUUAUGAAAAAGGAUCGGCUAACUCCGUGCCAGCAGCCGCGGUAAUACGGAGGAUCCGAGCGUUAUCCGGAUUUAUGGGGUUUAAAGGGAGCGUAGACGGGUUGUUAAGUCAGUGGUGAAAGUUUGCGGCUCAACCGUAAAACUGCAAUUGAUACUGGCAGCCUUGAGUACAGUUGAGGUAUGCGGAAUGCGUGGUGUAGCGGUGAAAUGCUUAGAUAUCACGCAGAACUCCGAUUGCGAAGGCAGCUUACUAACCUGCCACUGACAUUGAUGCUCGAAAGUGUGGGUAUCAAACAGGAUUAGAUACCCCAGUAGUC